AAUGUACCGAAGGACAGGAAAAAAAGACUACACCGCUCCACCGCUCCCACCCCCUCGCCGCCGCCGCCGCCGCCGCCGGCAGCUUGCUCCUCCCAGCGGUUCGAAUCGCCGUCUUGGCCGGCCACAGUUCGGGCGAACCAGCUCCCCUUGUCGUCGGCUGCUGCCCCAGCUCCUCCGCCGGCUGAUUAAUCCCCUCUGGUCGCACCUCCGCCGGUCAGUGCUCUUCCGUUCGCCCUUGCUUGCGCGGAAUUCCUGCAGAAACAAGUCCGAAUCUUUGUCGAGUGCCUUCUUGGGCUCGGAUUUGCUUCUCCUACUGGAAUUUGAAGCGUUUGGCCGAACCUCAAGAUAUCUGCAGAGAGACUCUGCGAAAUUUGUCGGUUUGGCCGAAGCUGAAGAUAUCCAAUGGAGUCAUGUAGCGUUGCCAGGAUAACGAGCCUAGGGAAGCUUGCUAUGCACCGGACAUAUUUGUGCACCCUGAUCUUCAGAACUUUGCCAAAGAUGCUAGGCUUCACUUCCAGUUCACUGGAGAGAUUCUGCAAAGCUGAACAUGUUGAGCUACAACUGACCAAGAAGACUACACUGGGCACAUUGCCGGAGCUGCCUCCGGAUGUUUUGAUGGGCAUCUUUGCCACCCUUGAGAUCCCUGACCUCGUGCGUGCCGGCUCUGUCUGCCCAUCCUGGCGCUCCGCAUACACAAGCCUACGGAGCCUUGGGCAGUACAAACUCCAGCAGACGCCAUGUCUCCUCUACACUUCCAAAUCCACUGGUGAGAGUGUCGCAUGCCUCUACAGCCUCGCAGAGAAGCGAUCGUACAAGUUAACCCUCCCGGAGCCGCCUAUCCGUACUAGGUGUUUGAUCGGGUCCUCACAUGGAUGGCUGAUAACUGCUGAUGAGAGAUCUGAGAUGCACCUCGUCAAUCCGGUCACAUGUGAACAGAUUGCUCUCCCUUCAGUGAUCACCAUUGAGCAGGUGAGGCCCAUCUUUGAUGAGCAUGGUGCUGUCCACAAGUAUGAACUCUCAUGGCACACUGGAAUGCACGAUGGUUAUAACUCGCCGACAAUCUUUGCUCUUGACAACCUGCGGCACGAACUCCACUAUAAGGCGUAUGUGUUCUCCGAUGCAUCCACGGAAAGCUUCAUUGUGGUGCUCAUCCACAAUCCAAUGCGUCAGCUCUCUUAUGCAAGGGUAGGGGAUGACAAGUGGACCUGGCUGCCACCUUAUGAUAUCUAUGAUGACUGCACUUACAAGAAUGGCCUAUUGUAUGCAGCGACUGCAACUGGAGAAAUUCAUGCUUUUGAUCUUAGUGGGCCUGUCGCCAGUAUGAAGAUAAUUAUGGGGGCAUCUGAGAAUAUUUCAGCUGGCAGUGCGUACAUUGUUCAAGCUCCCUGGGGUGAUCUGCUGCUUAUUUGGAGAAUCUUCGGCGAUUAUGAUUUAGAACCUGAACCUGGGGCAUCUGUGUUUUGGCAAACAGGCAGAAUUAAUAUGUAUGAAGUUGACUUGGUGGCAAGUAAACUUAAGGCAAUCAAUUCGUUGCGUUCCCAUGUGUUAUUUCUUGGGCAUAAUCAAUCUCUUUGUCUCAAUGCUGAAGAAUAUCCAGCUCUCAAGGCAAAUCAUGUCUACUUUACUGAUGAUAGUUUUUUCUGGACAACGGGAUUGAAGAAUAAUCACCGUGACAUGGGAGUUCUUGAUUUGGAUGAUAAUAGCAGGGAGGAAAUUAUAUCUCCUCAUCUUUGCUCCAACUUUCCGGCUCCUAUGUGGAUUACGGCUGAUCUUAGAAAGAUGAACUUGGCAUCAGUAGGGGCAGCUUGAAUAAGAGUUGAUGGGUUCAAUGAGCUAAUAAUGGGUGGUAUUUGCAAGGUUAUUGCAGAUACAUAGGGACCAAUAGGACUGUGCGCGGCCAUUAUUUGCAAUGAGCUAAUAAUGCCCUUAGUUUGUACACGCGACUAGCUUCGAACCAGUUUACUUUGAAUAAAGAGAUUGCAUUUUCCUUUGUUUACUCAUGUUGUUUACUCAAUGUACCAACUAACUCUCUCCAAUUUUAAUGUGUCAACAGAAACUUGAGGAAUACCAAAUUGCUCUCUCCAAUUUCUUUUUUGAGUAUGUUCGGAACAUAUGGUGUAUGCUCAAAACAUUGCUGGGGCGGAAUCAACAACAAAAUCUUGCUGAAACAGAAGCAUUUUUUAUUUUUGCUGUAACAAAAAAGAUUUUCAUGCAUACAAACAAGGGCAAAGGUCGAUGUAUAAGGAAGAAGAAUUCCCAACAGGAACAAGAAAUAUGGCUAUUCACAGGAGCAACAACAGCAGCAGCAGCACAUCUAUUAACUUGAGAAUCAAAAACCUACAUGGUAGAUCAAGCAUAUUGUUGCCACCAGUCAGGACCUAGCCGGUGGCAAAAGUGCGCGUGCCAGCGGACAUCAUCGCCGGAGCGAAGUUUGG
RNA transcript from Triticum aestivum (bread wheat), 2435 nucleotides. It is a transcript of the gene named F-box only protein 7-like, with no coding region annotated. Lineage: Eukaryota; Viridiplantae; Streptophyta; Magnoliopsida; Poales; Poaceae. The transcript has 3 exons. The record is from RefSeq and is a predicted model, not a curated record.